GACGAACGCUGGCGGCGUGCCUAACACAUGCAAGUCGAACGGGGUGUGGGGAGCUUGCUCCCUACACUUAGUGGCGAACGGGUGAGUAACGCGUGAGGAACCUGCCUUUCAGUGGGGGACAACAGUUGGAAACGACUGCUAAUACCGCAUAACGUGACGAGAUCGCAUGGUCUUGUUACCAAAGCUGAGGCGCUGAAAGAUGGACUCGCGUCUGAUUAGAUAGUUGGUGAGGUAACGGCUCACCAAGUCGACGAUCAGUAGCCGGACUGAGAGGUUGAACGGCCACAUUGGGACUGAGAUACGGCCCAGACUCCUACGGGAGGCAGCAGUCGGGAAUAUUGCGCAAUGGAGGAAACUCUGACGCAGUGACGCCGCGUAUAGGAAGAAGGUUUUCGGAUUGUAAACUAUUGUCGUUAGGGAAGAUAAUGACGGUACCUGACUAAGAAGCCCCGGCUAACUACGUG
RNAcentral lists this ribosomal RNA (464 nucleotides) under uncultured bacterium. Its description in RNAcentral is "bacterial SSU rRNA". It matches the Rfam family "Bacterial small subunit ribosomal RNA", at positions 28 to 507 of the family's 1533-position model. The record is from RNAcentral.